RNAcentral lists this ribosomal RNA (460 nucleotides) under uncultured bacterium. Its description in RNAcentral is "partial 16S ribosomal RNA". It matches the Rfam family "Bacterial small subunit ribosomal RNA", at positions 338 to 795 of the family's 1533-position model. The record is from RNAcentral.
CCUACGGGUGGCAGCAGUGAGGAAUAUUGGUCAAUGGGCGCUAGCCUGAACCAGCCAAGUAGCGUGAAGGAUGACUGCCCUACGGGUUGUAAACUUCUUUUAUAUAGGAAUAAAGUGAGGCACGUGUGCCUUUUUGUAUUUACUUUAUGAAUAAGGAUCGGCUAACUCCGUACCAGAAGCCGCGGUAAUACGGAGGAUCCGAGCGUUAUCCGGAUUUAUUGGGUUUAAAGGGAGCGUAGAUGGGUUGUUAAGUCAGUUGUGAAAGUUUGCGGCUCAACCGUAAAAUUGCAGUUGAUACUGGCAGCCUUGAGUACAGUAGAGGUAGGCGGAAUUCGUGGUGUAGCGGUGAAAUGCUUAGAUAUCACGAAGAACUCCGAUUGCGAAGGCAGCUUACUAAACUGCAACUGACAUUGAUGCUCGAAAGUGUGGGUAUCAAACAGGAUUAGAUACCCGGGUAGUC